RNAcentral lists this non-coding RNA (22 nucleotides) under Arabidopsis thaliana (thale cress). Lineage: Eukaryota; Viridiplantae; Streptophyta; Magnoliopsida; Brassicales; Brassicaceae. The record is from RNAcentral.
UAAAUGGUCUAUUCGCUUGUAG